GGUUUGGCACAAGACUUCCUCAGCAGGACAUGUAACCCACAAAAUUUAGCCAGUAUCCAGGGCUGCUCACAGCUUUGCUUCUUGUGAGAUUUAACGACGAUGAUGGUCUUAAAAUGGUUUUACCACAAGAAGGAAUACAUCUGUUGUCUUCCCCUGAGGCCUCACACUGCCAGUCUGAGGAGUUUACAACUAUAUGAUAAAUCCAGAGGGUUUACCACAGAUCAUGGGGAGAAAAUGCAGAUUUGAUAUGAGAAGAGCCAAUAUGUAACACAACGGAGAGACGGAUGGACUACAAACCACACUGAAUGUAUUCUCACCUGAUGAAAGGUCUUGAUAUCGCCAGGACGGUCCGGAUAAACCA
Long non-coding RNA from Anarrhichthys ocellatus (wolf-eel), 361 nucleotides. RefSeq lists it as uncharacterized. NCBI's taxonomy places the organism in Eukaryota, Metazoa, Chordata, Actinopteri, Perciformes, Anarhichadidae. The transcript has 3 exons. The record is from RefSeq and is a predicted model, not a curated record.